UACGUAGGGUGCGAGCGUUAAUCGGAAUUACUGGGCGUAAAGCGUGCGCAGGCGGUCAUGCAAGACAGAUGUGAAAUCCCCGGGCUCAACCUGGGAACUGCAUUUGUGACUGCAUGGCUAGAGUACGGUAGAGGGGGAUGGAAUUCCGCGUGUAGCAGUGAAAUGCGUAGAUAUGCGGAGGAACACCGAUGGCGAAGGCAAUCCCCUGGACCUGUACUGACGCUCAUGCACGAAAGCGUGGGGAGCAAACAGG
Molecule: ribosomal RNA, 253 nt
Filed under: uncultured bacterium
Lineage: Bacteria
Description: partial 16S ribosomal RNA
Rfam family: Bacterial small subunit ribosomal RNA
Source: RNAcentral